This 71-nucleotide transfer RNA is filed under the name Marmota monax (woodchuck). RNAcentral describes it as "tRNA.Ser". It matches the Rfam family "tRNA". From Rfam's summary of the family: Transfer RNA (tRNA) molecules are approximately 80 nucleotides in length. Their secondary structure includes four short double-helical elements and three loops (D, anti-codon, and T loops). Lineage: Eukaryota; Metazoa; Chordata; Mammalia; Rodentia; Sciuridae. The record is from RNAcentral.
GGGGUUGUGGCUCAGCGGUAGAGCGCUCACCUGGAAUGUGCGAGGCUCUGGGUUCAAUCCUCAGCACCACA